GGACCGGAGUGGACGAACCGCUGGUGUUCCAGUUGUCUCGCCAGAGGCAUUGCUGGGUAGCUACGUUCGGACAGGAUAACCGCUGAAAGCAUCUAAGCGGGAAGCCCCUUCCAAGAUGAGAUCUCCCUGAGGCCUUGAGCCUCCUGAAGAGCCGUUCAAGACCAGGACGUUGAUAGGUCGGGUGUGUAAGCGCUGCGAGGCGUUGAGCUAACCGAUACUAAUUGCUCGUGCGGCUUGACUAUAUAACACCCAAG
RNAcentral lists this ribosomal RNA (254 nucleotides) under Marinobacter sp. ANT_B65. Its description in RNAcentral is "partial 23S ribosomal RNA". It matches the Rfam family "Bacterial large subunit ribosomal RNA", at positions 2689 to 2925 of the family's 2925-position model. Lineage: Bacteria; Pseudomonadati; Pseudomonadota; Gammaproteobacteria; Pseudomonadales; Marinobacteraceae. The record is from RNAcentral.